This 230-nucleotide long non-coding RNA is filed under the name Elaeis guineensis (African oil palm). RNAcentral's name for it is "long non-coding RNA (EGUI_LNC024441)". The record is from RNAcentral. Lineage: Eukaryota; Viridiplantae; Streptophyta; Magnoliopsida; Arecales; Arecaceae.
CAUCCACCCAAGUUGCUUGGAAUUAACUUCCACGUUGUGUCAUCUUGCAUCGGCUUAGAUUGCACAUGCUGCCUCAUUGUAAUGUCUAGCCUAGAGUUCAAGAGACCAUUGCUCAUGUUAUUCUAGAACACAAAAAGUCAAUAUAGGUGUGAAGACUAGCUCCUCUCCAUCUCUCCAUGAGUUUAUCAUGCUCCAACCCAAUGGCCAAUGGUGGGUGUGCAACACAUGGC